CUCGCUGACGACCGGCGCACGGGUGAGUAACGCGUAUGCAACCUACCUUUGACCAGGGGAUAGCCCGGGGAAACUCGGAUUAAUACCCUAUAACACUACGAAACGGCAUCGUUUUGUAUUUAAAGUUCCGACAGUCAAAGAUGGGCAUGCGUGACAUUAGCUAGUUGGUAAGGUAACGGCUUACCAAGGCAACGAUGUCUACGGGGUCUUAAAGGAUGGUCCCGCACACUGGUACUGAGACACGGACCAG
This 250-nucleotide ribosomal RNA is filed under the name uncultured bacterium. RNAcentral describes it as "partial 16S ribosomal RNA". It matches the Rfam family "Bacterial small subunit ribosomal RNA", at positions 84 to 334 of the family's 1533-position model. The record is from RNAcentral.